Molecule: ribosomal RNA, 449 nt
Filed under: uncultured bacterium
Lineage: Bacteria
Description: SSU rRNA
Rfam family: Bacterial small subunit ribosomal RNA
Source: RNAcentral
AGAGCGAACGCUGGCGGCAGGCUUAACACAUGCAAGUCGAGCGGGCGUAGCAAUACGUCAGCGGCAGACGGGUGAGUAACGCGUGGGAACGUACCUUUUGGUUCGGAACAACACAGGGAAACUUGUGCUAAUACCGGAUAAGCCCUUACGGGGAAAGAUUUAUCGCCGAAAGAUCGGCCCGCGUCUGAUUAGCUAGUUGGUGAGGUAACGGCUCACCAAGGCGACGAUCAGUAGCUGGUCUGAGAGGAUGAUCAGCCACAUUGGGACUGAGACACGGCCCAAAACUCCUACGGGAGGCAGCAGUGGGAAUAUUGGACAAUGGGCGCAAGCCUGAUCCAGCCAUGCCGCGUGAGUGAUGAAGGCCCUAGGGUUGUAAAGCUCUUUUGUGCGGGAAGAUAAAUGACGGUACCGCAAGAAUAAGCCCCGGCUAACUUCGUGCCAGCAGCCGC